AAUGAACGCUGGCGGCGCGCCUAAUACAUGCAAGUCGAGCGAGAAGACGUAGCAAUACGUUUGUAAAGCGGCGAACGGGUGAGGAAUACAUGGGUAACCUACCCUAGAGUGGGGAAUAACUAGCCGAAAGGUUAGCUAAUACCGCGUACGCUCCUUGGACUUCGGUUCAGGGAGGAAAGCGAUACCGUGGGUAUCGCGCUCUUGGAUGGGCUCAUGUCCUAUCAGCUUGUUGGUGAGGAACGGCUCACCAAGGCUUCGACGGGUAGCUGGUCUGAGAGGACGAUCAGCCACACUGGCACUGCGACACGGGCCAGACUCCUACGGGAGGCAGCAGUAAGGAAUAUUGCGCAAUGGGCGAAAGCCUGACGCAGCGACGCCGCGUGGGGGA
RNAcentral lists this ribosomal RNA (388 nucleotides) under uncultured bacterium. RNAcentral's name for it is "bacterial SSU rRNA". It matches the Rfam family "Bacterial small subunit ribosomal RNA", at positions 29 to 408 of the family's 1533-position model. The record is from RNAcentral.